CGUGUGUGUGUGUGUGAGAGAAUGUUUUGCCGUCACUGAGAUCGCCUGUGUUCCUAAAUGUGUGUCCUUCUCCCUCGUGUUUAUUUGGCAGUGAGGGGUUCGCAGGAGACAACUUUGCACGUUGCUCUGGAGACACCGUGACCAUGGCCCAGACACAGCGUGAAUCAGUUUCUCUUUCCUGCCCACAACCCAGCUGGGUUUUCUUUCUGAUUCAUAUCACAGACUUUCUAAACACAGACUCAACAUCGCAAGACUUCCGGGAAUGCUUUGGAAGCGUACUCGGCAGACCAGACCAGGGUUUGAGAAGUUCUUUGUGUGGGAGGCCAAUGAUAAGGGCUCUGAGGUGCACCUCCAGGCCGACCCCACCAAGGUGGAGCUGCUGCACCAGUCCUUCAAGGUCAAGAAGGAGGUUUUCAAGGACAAACAGAAGAAGACUAUCUUGGAUAAGG
Molecule: non-coding RNA, 449 nt
Organism: Salmo salar (Atlantic salmon)
Lineage: Eukaryota; Metazoa; Chordata; Actinopteri; Salmoniformes; Salmonidae
Source: RefSeq, a predicted model, not a curated record